RNAcentral lists this ribosomal RNA (500 nucleotides) under uncultured bacterium. RNAcentral describes it as "bacterial SSU rRNA". It matches the Rfam family "Bacterial small subunit ribosomal RNA", at positions 212 to 704 of the family's 1533-position model. The record is from RNAcentral.
CUCGCACUAUUGGAUGAGCCUAUGUCUGAUUAGCUAGUUGGUAGGGUAAAAGCCUACCAAGGCGACGAUCAGUAGCUGGUCUGAGAGGAUGAUCAGCCACACUGGGACUGAGACACGGCCCAGACUCCUACGGGAGGCAGCAGUGGGGAAUAUUGGACAAUGGGCGCAAGCCUGAUCCAGCAAUGCCGCGUGUGUGAAGAAGGCCUGAGGGUUGUAAAGCACUUUCAAUUGUGAAGAAAAGUUUAAGGCUAAUAACCUUAAACCGUGACGUUAACUUUAGAAGAAGCACCGGCUAACUCCGUGCCAGCAGCCGCGGUAAUACGGAGGGUGCGAGCGUUAAUCGGAAUUACUGGGCGUAAAGCGUGCGUAGGUGGCUUGGUAAGUCGGAUGUGAAAGCCCUGGGCUCAACCUGGGAACUGCAUUCGAUACUGCCUGGCUAGAGUAUGGUAGAGGGAAGUGGAAUUUCCGGUGUAGCGGUGAAAUGCGUAGAUAUCGGAAGG